UAGGGAAUCUUCCGCAAUGGACGAAAGUCGGACGGAGCAACGCCCCGUGAGUGAAGAAGGAUUUCGGUUCGUAAAACUCUGUUGUUAGGGAAGAAAAAAUGUAUAGUAACAAUAUACAAAAGAGACGGUACCUAACCAGAAAGCCACGGCUAACUACGUGCCAGCAGCCGCGGUAAUACGUAGGUGGCAAGCGUUGUCCGGAAUUAUUGGGCGUAAAGCGCGCGCAGGUGGUUUAGAAAGUCUGAUGUGAAAGCCCACGGCUCAACCGUGGAGGGUCAUUGGAAACUAAUAAACUUGAGUGCAGGAGAGAAAAGUGGAAUUCCUAGUGUAGCGGUGAAAUGCGUAGAGAUUAGGAGGAACACCGGUGGCGAAAGCGGCUUUUUGGCCUGCAACUGACACUGAGGCGCGAAAGCGUGGGGAGCAAACAGG
This 429-nucleotide ribosomal RNA is filed under the name Verrucomicrobiota bacterium. Its description in RNAcentral is "Verrucomicrobia bacterium partial 16S ribosomal RNA". It matches the Rfam family "Bacterial small subunit ribosomal RNA", at positions 355 to 776 of the family's 1533-position model. Lineage: Bacteria; Pseudomonadati; Verrucomicrobiota. The record is from RNAcentral.